Molecule: ribosomal RNA, 301 nt
Filed under: uncultured bacterium
Lineage: Bacteria
Description: partial 16S ribosomal RNA
Rfam family: Bacterial small subunit ribosomal RNA
Source: RNAcentral
CAGUCGCCACGGGAAUACGGAGGGUGCAAGCGUUAAUCGGAAUUACUGGGCGUAAAGCGUGCGUAGGCGGUUCGUUAAGUCUGUUGUGAAAGCCCCGGGCUCAACCUGGGAAUGGCAAUGGAUACUGGCGAGCUAGAGUGUGUCAGAGGAUGGUGGAAUUCCCGGUGUAGCGGUGAAAUGCGUAGAGAUCGGGAGGAACAUCAGUGGCGAAGGCGGCCAUCUGGGACAACACUGACGCUGAGGCACGAAAGCGUGGGGAGCAGACAGGAUUAGAUACCCCCGUAGUCCCUGUCUCUUAUAC